This 973-nucleotide long non-coding RNA is filed under the name Populus trichocarpa (black cottonwood). RNAcentral's name for it is "long non-coding RNA (PTRI_LNC000757)". Lineage: Eukaryota; Viridiplantae; Streptophyta; Magnoliopsida; Malpighiales; Salicaceae. The record is from RNAcentral.
GGAAUCUUCUUUGAGUAUUGGUAUUUGUCAUAAAGUUCCUUCACUAAAUUCAUUGAGAGAUAAUGCACUCACACACAACCCUGCCAUGUGCUGGCAUGGAUGGCCUGACUGGUUAAGGCCAGUUAAAGAUUCCAUGAUGACAUUAACUUGAUCAAUCAGUUAUAUUUUGUGAAGUAUAUUGAUCAUGGCCACGGGGGUUUUUCUUUUCUUUUCUUUUUGAUUUUUGUCCGAUGGGCCUAUGCCAUAGGGGAAGCCUAUCCAAAUUUCUGAAUCUGUUUCCAAUAUCUUUGAGGACUCAAACUUGAGACCUGGUAGUGGAAAUCCUAAGUUUUAACUACAGGGGAUCCUUUAAGUUGUGUUUGGUUAGUUUCACACAACAAAAAGAACAAAUACGAAAGGGAUAAAAAUGUUGGUUUGGAGGCACGGAGAUAGUCAAAUAAAUUUGUUGUUGUGAUAGUCAAAUAAUUGAAGAAAUAAUCAAACACGAAUUACAUGAGACCUUUUCAUUCUACCCCAUACGACAAUAAUUGAAGACCAUUGCUUAUGAAAUGGCGGGGGGUUUUUCUUUUCUUUUCUUUUUGAUUUUUGUCCGAUGGGCCUAUGCCAUUGGGGAAGCCUAUCCAAAUUUCUGAAUCCGUUUCCAAUAUCUUUGAGGACUCAAACUCGAGACCUGGUAGUGGAAAUCCUAAGUUUUAACUACAGGGGAUCCUUUAAGUUGUGUUUGGUUAGUUUCACACAACAAAAAGAAUAAAUACGAAAGGGAUAAAUAUGUUGGUUUGGAGGCAUGGAGAUAGUCAAAUAAAUUUGUUGUUGUGAUAGUCAAAUAAUUGAAGAAAUAAUCAAACACCAAUUACAUGAUACCUUUUCAACUCACACAAAAGAAGAAAAAAACUUGCAAAACAUUUUCCAGGAUUCCAAAUACAGUAAAUUAUGAAGAAUGUGUUGUAUGCUGAUUUUCUCAACAACUUGCAGC